AGCAGCUUGGCGCAGUGGAAGCGCGGUAUGUUCAACAAGCUCCAUCGAAAUCUACAAAGCUAACUCAUCCCAGCCGGGCUCAUAACCCGGAGGUCACUGGAUCGAAACCAGUAGCUGCUA
Molecule: transfer RNA, 120 nt
Filed under: Fusarium musae
Lineage: Eukaryota; Fungi; Ascomycota; Sordariomycetes; Hypocreales; Nectriaceae
Description: tRNA-Met
Source: RNAcentral